This is an RNA transcript of Planococcus citri (citrus mealybug), 5020 nucleotides long. It is a transcript of the gene named multidrug resistance-associated protein 1-like, with no coding region annotated. The record is from RefSeq and is a predicted model, not a curated record. NCBI's taxonomy places the organism in Eukaryota, Metazoa, Arthropoda, Insecta, Hemiptera, Pseudococcidae. The transcript has 32 exons.
AUGUCGCAAUUCGUGGCAAUGUAGCAUGAUUGUUCCAUAAUAAAAGGGAGAUACUUAGUCAUUAAAAUUUGAAAAUUUUUAUCGACUCGCGUUAGUUCAUUAGGUGAAACUGUGCGUGAAUGUUUAGUUUAUCGAUACGCGCUGGUGAAGUUGACAAUAUGGAUGAAUUUUGUGGUUCGCGGUUUUGGGAUUCUGAUGUGGUUUGGAAUACUUCUGAUCCUGAUUUGACGUUAUGUUUCGAGAAAACUGUUCUAACGUGGAUCCCUUGCGCGUUUCUAUGGAUUUGUCUACCUUUGGAGAUAUAUUACCUUCGUCAUUCGAAAGCAUCUAAUAUUCCAUUAAAUUUAUAUAAUGUCGUGAAAUUGAUUUCAAUAGCUAUUUUAGCGACACUUUCUCUGGCGGAUAUCGUGCAUCAUGUAUUUUUUCAUAGUCACAGUUUUCCGGUCGACUUUUAUUCGCCAUUAAUUAAAUUCAUCACUUUCCUAAUAUUUCUGCUUUUAACUUAUGCUAAUUUAACAUUUGGCGUAAGAUCGUCGCCGAUUUUGUUUUUAUUCUCGUUGUUAUUGGUUGUAUUUGGAGCACCUCAGCUACGAACAGAACUUCGAUCAAAAUGGAUCCAGGAAGAAAACCAUAACACUGUCGAAUUUGUCAGCUACGUAAUUUACUUCCCAGUCGUAUUAUUUGUAUUUAUCCUGAAUUGCUUCGCUGACUCACGUCCACGAAUCGUGAAACAUAAGGUUAUUAAAAAUGUAUGUGUGGAAAAUCAGUCUUCCUUUUUGUCUCAAUUGUUAUUCGCUUGGUACGAUCCGUUUGCUUGGAAAGGAGCCAGAAAAUCUCUGGAAGAUGAAGAUUUACCGAAUCUCGACUACACGAAAUCAUCCGCCGGCGUUGUGCCUCAAUUUGAGAAGUACUGGACGAAAGCUCGCGAGAAAGUGAAAAAAAAUCGCAUAUUUGAAUUUGAAAUGGAGCAGAAAAGAGGCAAAGAGGAGUUUGAUGAAAUUGACGAAUACAAUCUGAAUAAAAUCAGUAAAAAGAAGAAGUUCGUGUCAGUUGUGCCAGUUUUAUGCCAAACUACUUGGAGUACAUUUUUGAUGGGAACGACUCUGAAGCUUAUUCAAGAUAUUUUGGUGUUUGUCAGCCCUCAAAUUUUAAGUUUAUUGAUCGGUUUCAUGAGUGGCGAUGAACCAUUAUGGCGAGGAUAUUUUUACGCGAUCACAUUAUUUGCGGUGGCCUUCAUUCGAACUGUGAUCUUAUCUCAAUACUUUCAUAAAGUGAAUAUCGUCGGAUUGAAACUUCGAAUAUCUCUGAUUUCGAUUAUUUACAAAAAGGCAUUAAGCAUAUCGAAUGGUGCUCGAAGGGAAUUCACUGUUGGUGAAAUUGUCAACUUGAUGUCUGUAGAUGCUCAACGAAUUGUUGAGCUGAUGAUGUACGUGAAUAUGUUGUGGUCAGCGCCGUUGCAGAUUUUGUUGGCGUUAUUUUUCUUAUGGCAGUUUCUAGGUCCCAGUGUAUUGGCUGGUUUUGUUUUGAUGAUAAUUUUAAUCCCAAUUAACGGUUAUAUCGCAUCCAAAUUGCAAAAGUUGAUGUUCAAACAAAUGGCACAAAAGGAUAAACGAGUUAAAUUGAUGAAUGAAAUUCUAUCUGGAAUCAAAGUACUAAAAUUUUACGCUUGGGAACCGAGUUUUGAAAACCAAGUCUUAAAAAUUCGAGACAAAGAAAACAGAGUAUUGAAAAAACAGGCUUACAUGAACGCUCUGAUUGGGUUCAUUUGGAAUUCUACUCCAUUUCUGGUAUCAUUACUUACCUUUGCAGUUUACGCAUUAUCGAGCGAAGAACAUGUGCUGGAUGCUAAAACUGUGUUCGUAUCUUUAUCGUUAUUUAAUAUUUUGAGGUUUCCUUUGAUGGCUUUACCAAUGAUGAUUUCCCAAUUAGCUCAAGCGAGUGUUUCGGUGAAAAGAAUAAACAAAUUUUUAAAUUCGGAAGAUUUGAAUCCUGACGAUGUUUCUAAAAUGAAUAGGCCUGAAGCUUUACUUAUUGAAAAUGGUUCAUUUUCUUGGGAAGGAACUAAUGGACCUGCUACUUUGCGUGAUAUAAAUAUUAAAGUUAAUCCGGGAAAUUUGGUCGCUGUAGUUGGACCAGUUGGUUGCGGUAAAAGUUCAUUAAUUUCAGCAUUUCUCGGUGAAAUGUACAAAUUAUCCGGCCUUGUCAAUACCAGGGGUAGCAUAGCCUAUGUACCUCAACAAGCUUGGAUUCAAAAUACAACGUUAAAAAAUAACAUUACUUUUGGAGAUCAAGCCAAUAAUAACUUCUACAACCAAGUAUUGGAAGCGUGUGCAUUGAAAACCGACUUGGAAAUAUUACCAGCCGGCGAUGCAACCGAAAUUGGCGAAAAGGGGAUAAACUUGAGCGGUGGUCAAAAACAAAGAAUCAGUUUAGCUAGAGCUGUUUACAAUCGUGCAGAUGUGUAUUUAUUGGAUGACCCAUUGAGCGCAGUAGAUUCGCAUGUUGGAAAACACAUAUUCGACUAUGUUAUUGGUCCGAAUGGAUUAAUGAAAAAUACUACUCGUAUCUUGGUAACUCACAGCAUCACGUAUUUAUCUCAAGUUGACUUCAUAGUAGUUGUGAAAGAUGGUAGUAUUUCUGAGUCCGGUUCGUUCCAGGAACUAGUGGAUAAAAAGGGAGAUUUUUCUGUUUUCUUGGAUACUUAUUUGAGGGAAAGUUCUGAAUCCGAUGAAGAAGAUAUGGAUGAUGGAUUCACAAAAGUUUCAAGUGAUGAGAAAAUAUCCAGUGGCCAGCCCAAUAAACGAAAGUCAAAACCUAGCGAGAGCGGUUCUGUUGUUUCAUUUAAUAGGCAAAAAUCAACCAAUGAAAGUAAAGAGUCACUUAGAAAUGGUAAUACAUCUACAGGAAAUGUAGCCGGAGAAAAAUUAAUUGAAGUCGAACACUCUGAAAGUGGAAAGGUUAAAUGGAAAGUGUACGGGUAUUACUUGAAAUCGUUUGGAUUAUCCUGGACAUUUGCAAUUCUCUUCAUGAUAGUUGUGUUCCAAGUAUUUUCCAUAUCUUCAAGUAUGUUGCUUUCUAGUUGGUCCACCGAUACAAAAGCUGUCACUACCGAAGGGAAUCAAGAUAUCAGUAAAAGGAAUUUCUAUCUCACGACUUACGCGUUAUUGGGAUUAGGUCAAGCAACUUCGACAUUGUUGGAAGGGUUAUUCUUGGCUAGUGGAAUGGUAGCCGCGUCUAGAAAUUUACAUCUAAAUAUGUUAAACCGGAUACUAAGAGCACCUCUUAGCUUUUUCGAUACGACUCCUAGUGGAAGAAUUAUCAAUCGAUUUGGAAAAGAUGUCGAUAUCGUAGACAGUGUCCUGCCUCAGGUCCUUCGUUGGUGGUUAGAAAGUGCAUUUGGAUUGUUGACAAUUUUGUACAUAAUCACUUACAGUACUCCUAUUUUUGCUACGAUCAUAUUACCUGUCGGUCUUCUUUAUUAUUUUAUCCAGAGAAUCUACGUUGCCACUACGAGACAAUUGAAACGACUGAACUCAGUAUCGCAAUCUUCCAUAUAUUCUCAUUUCAGCGAAACAAUUUCUGGUGCUCAGUCAAUUCGAGCUUAUGGACUUCAAGAAAAAUUUAUCAAACAAUCUGAAUACAAAGUGGAUUUCAAUUUGAGAAGCUACUAUUUAAAUCUUGUGUCUAAUAGAUGGCUUUCAGUACGUUUAGAAACUGUUGGGAAUAUCAUCAUGCUUUUUGUUGCGGUCCUUGCAGUACUUGGAAAAGAUACUCUUAGUCCUGGACUCGCAGCUUUAUCCAUCACUUCGGUCUUAUCUAUUACUGAAUUGCUGAACUGGGUCGUAAAUAUGACUUCGGAAGUAGAAACCAAUAUCGUAUCCGUCGAAAGGAUCAAAGAAUAUAGCAGCGAAACACCUCAAGAGGCGAGUUGGAAACUACCCAACGAAUUAGUACCGAAAGAUUGGCCAUCCAAAGGUGAUAUAGUUUUCAAAAAUUUCCAAGUCCGGUAUAGAGAUGGAUUAGACUUAGUUUUGAAAGGAAUCACGGCGUACGUUGACGGUGGUCAGAAAGUCGGUAUUGUUGGCAGAACAGGCGCUGGAAAGUCAUCGUUGACUUUGAGUUUGUUCAGGAUCAUUGAAAGUGCUGGUGGCGAGAUCUCUAUCGAUGGUGUUGAUAUUGCUUCUCUCGGUUUACAUUCCGUUCGUGCAAAGUUGACUAUUAUUCCUCAGGAUCCGGUCCUAUUUUCGGGUUCAUUACGUGUAAAUUUAGAUCCAGCCGGUGAAUAUUCCGAUGAUCGUGUAUGGCGUUCGUUAGAAUUAGCUCACCUUAAAUCAUACGUUUCUAGUUUAGCCGCCGGUCUCGAGUACGAAGUUACCGAAGGAGGUGAAAACUUCAGUGUUGGCCAAAGACAACUCAUCUGUUUGGCUCGAGCUUUAUUACGCAAAACAAAAGUAUUAAUUUUAGACGAAGCUACCGCAGCUGUUGAUUUAGAAACCGAUGAACUUAUUCAGACCACCAUUCGUAGUGAAUUUAGAGAUUGCACGGUGUUGACGAUUGCUCAUCGAUUGAAUACGAUCAUGGAUUACGAUAAAAUUAUGGUCCUCGACAAAGGUCUAGUGGUAGAAUACGAUUCGCCGGAAGUUUUAUUAAAAUCGAAAAAUUCGGUGUUUUAUGGAAUGGCUGCUGAUGCUGGUCUGGUUUGAGAACUUGUAUAUAAUCGUAUUCGGGGUUAUUUUCUCCGCUAUGGAAAUGUAGUUCUACGAUUUGGAUGCGGCGUUGUUAGUAUCAAAUGUUUGCCUUGCGGUAUUUCGACGAUCAACGAAGACAUUUUGAGCACGAGAUCAAGCAACGUUAGAAGGUUAGAACUUCAAAAGCAGAGAACACAGAAACACGAGUAGUUUGCCUUGCUGUACUUCCACGAUCAACGGAGACAUUAUUUUUUUUGUCGCGAAAUUAAAACUGAGGAAAUAAUAAGCCGCCGCCGCAGCUGACCCGCCGAACAAUGUAAGAACUCUGAAAA